Molecule: ribosomal RNA, 253 nt
Filed under: uncultured bacterium
Lineage: Bacteria
Description: partial 16S ribosomal RNA
Rfam family: Bacterial small subunit ribosomal RNA
Source: RNAcentral
UACAGAGGUCUCAAGCGUUGUUCGGAUUCAUUGGGCGUAAAGGGUGCGUAGGUGGCGGGGUAAGUCAGGUGUGAAAUCUCGGGGCUCAACCCCGAAACUGCACUUGAUACUGCCUUGCUCGAGUACUGGAGAGGAGAUUGGAAUCUACGGUGUAGCAGUGAAAUGCGUAGAUAUCGUAAGGAAGACCAGUGGCGAAGGCGAAUCUCUGGACAGUUACUGACACUGAGGCACGAAGGCCAGAGGAGCAAACGGG